This 301-nucleotide ribosomal RNA is filed under the name uncultured bacterium. RNAcentral describes it as "partial 16S ribosomal RNA". It matches the Rfam family "Bacterial small subunit ribosomal RNA", at positions 509 to 807 of the family's 1533-position model. The record is from RNAcentral.
CAGUCGCCGCGGUAAUACGAAGGGUGCAAGCGUUAAUCGGAAUUACUGGGCGUAAAGCGUGCGUAGGCGGUGGUUUAAGUCCGUUGUGAAAGCCCUGGGCUCAACCUGGGAAUUGCAGUGGAUACUGGGUCACUAGAGUGUGGUAGAGGAUAGUGGAAUUUCCGGUGUAGCAGUGAAAUGCGUAGAGAUCGGAAGGAACAUCUGUGGCGAAGGCGACUAUCUGGGCCAACACUGACACUGAGGCACGAAAGCGUGGGGAGCAAACAGGAUUAGAGACCCCCGUAGUCCCUGUCUCUUAUAC